This is a long non-coding RNA of Gallus gallus (chicken), 2246 nucleotides long. RefSeq lists it as uncharacterized. The record is from RefSeq and is a predicted model, not a curated record. NCBI's taxonomy places the organism in Eukaryota, Metazoa, Chordata, Aves, Galliformes, Phasianidae. The transcript is spliced from 4 exons.
GCUCUGGAACUCGAGGGAGAGGUGAGUGGUUACCUGCUGGCUACCCCUCUUCUGAUGCAACCAAGGAUACCAUUGGCCUUCUGGGCUACAAGCCAAAGGCCAUGGCUUGUAUCAGAAACAGCAUUGCCAGCAGGAGCAGGGAGGUGACUGUUGUCCUGUACAGAGGCUCAGAGGAGAUCUUACAGCUUUCUACAACUCCUGAAAGGAAAUUGUGGCAGCAGAUCCAACAGAAGAGAUGUCUGUGCUCCUACAAGUUGUGUGGCUGUCUGUGGACCCAGCGCCAAUCUGUGCACUUUUCCCUGGCUGUCAGAGGGCAUGAAAGAGAGAAAUACUUGGAAAUGAAGACUACUUGGCAACAUGCUUUUAGAAGAGCAGAACAAGCAGCUGCAAAUUCAACAGAUGUAUUGUGUAUGGGACCAAGAGAUCAAUGAGAUGCAGAAGGGAAAGAGUCCUUCACAUCAGUUUUGCUAAACUUGGUUUCUCAUUCUUUAAACCCUUUGAUCUUAUUUUUUACACCUUUACUUUCUUCUCUGAUCAUAAGCCAUAGGCAGAUAUGCAUAGAUUCACCGCAGAAUCCCAGUGGCUGUCACCCACAUCAGGAGUAUACUCACUCCUCACCCUUUCCCUAAGGAUUUAUAGAGUGGAGGGACACCAAAUUGACAGCAGAUCUGUUGACAUCUUGGUGGUGAGAAAAGGGGGCAAGUGAUGGAUGAAUGAGUUAGUCUGAAACAAGUUUAUUUUUUUUUAAAAAAAACCUUUUCUUAUGGUGGAGAGAGAUUUCUGGUCAAGAAUGGAGCAGUUAAUGAAACAGAUAGCUGUUUGCAAUUGUAGCCUUAUAUGGCAGUCCGCAGUAGUUCACUACCUGGGAUGAGGCUAGUGAUGCUGUUUGCAGAGUGAAGCCUCUAGCACUGGGGUUCAAGCAGCAGUGAAACCUGUAAAGUAAGGUCACAAAUUUAAUUGAGGUUUUCAUAUGGGAAAAUCUUUUAAUACUAUCCUGCAUUUGAUGCAAGCCCUCGCUGCUGCUAACGAGUUCCUGGAGAAAGGGUAACAUUUGGCACUGAGUCUUCGGACUUAAUUCUCACACCUCUUGGGGGAUGGCAUCUAAAGAAAUAGAUGUUAGUUCUGAAAAUAACUUAGUUUAAUCACCUCUUGCCUAACUCUUUAGCUCUAUUCAGGCUGCAAGGUUUGCAAAGCUGUGAUGCAAUCCACAUUGCUGAAGCGACAGUAAGAAUCUGGUGGAGACUUAACCCUGCAAAUAGCUGCACAAGAAGAACCUGGGGAUUUAGCUUACAAUUCCUGUGCAAUAUAUUCCUCAGUGGCUUCUAGACACUAAAAAGAAAAGUCCCCAAACCCUAGAGAAAGGCUUUGAAAAUGGCCAUGGCCAAAACGAUGCAGUUAUCUUUCAAGAUAUUUCUUGCUAUUUGCAUGAAAUAAAAGCACAAAAUGAAAUACUGAAACCUGGAAACAAAUUCUACAUCUCAAAAUUAAUAAAAUUAAACAUAUAAUGUCAGGGCCAUGCCACAAAAAGCAGCAGCCGUAUUGAAUUAAGUGGUCUAAAUGUUGUUUCCUGUUCUGUUUAAAUGCCAGUGCCAAACUUUCAUUGAUCUCAUUGACAUCAAAGCGAGCAGGCCUAGUUCCCCAGGAAGCAGCUAAGGAUAAGCUCACCUUUGAGAAAAAGCCUGAAAAGCCAGUGAUCUAAUUUGGAGAUAAAUACUGCUUCCUCAAGGUGCCUUGAUACAAUAUGAAAUACCGAGAUAUGUUCCAUGUGCCACACACUCACCUCCUACAUGCAGAUGAGCUGUACCCAUUGCUCUACAGAAAGAUGAAGAUCUUCCAGAUGCCUUGGCAUUGUCACUGCAGCUCCUGGGCUGAGAUGUAAGGACUCAGAGAGGAGCUUCAAGACCCUGAGUGACCACUGAGUCCCAGGUUCAGAUCAGUACGAGACAAUACCACGGACAUGUGUACCCAACCAAGGGUAUCUAGUUCUCAGAGAGAAAGCAAACAGCUGGUGCAUGUGGGAUACUCAUUUGCCCACACUUCUUGAUCCUGUUUUUAGGAGAAUAGGAGAAGCUGUAGUUGGGGUGGUUGCUGUACCCCCCCCUGGGGCUGUGCAGCCCUGCUGGGAGCUGAGCGCCUAAAAAGUCUGCUCCCAGGUGUGGGGCAGCUAAAGGAAGAGAUCAGAAAAGAGCCAUCCAUGCUUUUCUUCUCCACUGUUCAGAAGGUGGAACAGCAGCCGAGACAAUGUU